AGAGUUUGAUCAUGGCUCAGAUUGAACGCUGGCGGCAGGCUUAACACAUGCAAGUCGAGCGGGGGAAGGUAGCUUGCUACUGGACCUAGCGGCGGACGGGUGAGUAAUGCUUAGGAAUCUGCCUAUUAGUGGGGGACAACAUCUCGAAAGGGAUGCUAAUACCGCAUACGUCCUACGGGAGAAAGCAGGGGAUCUUCGGACCUUGCGCUAAUAGAUGAGCCUAAGUCGGAUUAGCUAGUUGGUGGGGUAAAGGCCUACCAAGGCGACGAUCUGUAGCGGGUCUGAGAGGAUGAUCCGCCACACUGGGACUGAGACACGGCCCAGACUCCUACGGGAGGCAGCAGUGGGGAAUAUUGGACAAUGGGGGGAACCCUGAUCCAGCCAUGCCGCGUGUGUGAAGAAGGCCUUAUGGUUGUAAAGCACUUUAAGCGAGGAGGAGGCUACUUUAGUUAAUACCUAGAGAUAGUGGACGUUACUCGCAGAAUAAGCACCGGCUAACUCUGUGCCAGCAGCCGCGGUAAUACAGAGGGUGCGAGCGUUAAUCGGAUUUACUGGGCGUAAAGCGUGCGUAGGCGGCUUAUUAAGUCGGAUGUGAAAUCCCCGAGCUUAACUUGGGAAUUGCAUUCGAUACUGGUGAGCUAGAGUAUGGGAGAGGAUGGUAGAAUUCCAGGUGUAGCGGUGAAAUGCGUAGAGAUCUGGAGGAAUACCGAUGGCGAAGGCAGCCAUCUGGCCUAAUACUGACGCUGAGGUACGAAAGCAUGGGGAGCAAACAGGAUUAGAUACCCUGGUAGUCCAUGCCGUAAACGAUGUCUACUAGCCGUUGGGGCCUUUGAGGCUUUAGUGGCGCAGCUAACGCGAUAAGUAGACCGCCUGGGGAGUACGGUCGCAAGACUAAAACUCAAAUGAAUUGACGGGGGCCCGCACAAGCGGUGGAGCAUGUGGUUUAAUUCGAUGCAACGCGAAGAACCU
RNAcentral lists this ribosomal RNA (969 nucleotides) under Acinetobacter baumannii. Its description in RNAcentral is "bacterial SSU rRNA". It matches the Rfam family "Bacterial small subunit ribosomal RNA", at positions 8 to 971 of the family's 1533-position model. Lineage: Bacteria; Pseudomonadati; Pseudomonadota; Gammaproteobacteria; Moraxellales; Moraxellaceae. The record is from RNAcentral. RNAcentral also lists the same sequence under 1 other name.